UACGUAGGGGGCAAGCGUUGUCCGGAAUCAUUGGGCGUAAAGAGCGUGUAGGCGGCCUGGUAAGUCCGCUGUGAAAGUCCAGGGCUCAACCCUGGAAUGCCGGUGGAAACUGUCAGACUCGAGUCCGGAAGAGGCGAGUGGAAUUCCUGGUGUAGCGGUGAAAUGCGCAGAUAUCAGGAGGAACACCAAUGGCGAAGGCAGCUCGCUGGGACGGUACUGACGCUGAGACGCGAAAGCGUGGGGAGCAAACAGG
Molecule: ribosomal RNA, 253 nt
Filed under: uncultured bacterium
Lineage: Bacteria
Description: partial 16S ribosomal RNA
Rfam family: Bacterial small subunit ribosomal RNA
Source: RNAcentral